GGGGAUGACAGGCUUCGACGGGGAAGGCUGGUCCUGGACUGCAAGCCGAGCACGCUUUACAACUCGUAAAACUGGAAGCAAACAAUUAAGUGCCAAUAACAAUGCACGCUCCUACAACGCUCUCCCCUUGGCUGCCUAAUCGCAGCCGCCGGAAGGCGUUAGAUGAGUCCUGAGAUGGACUCCCGUCUGCCUCGACCGUUCGUUGACCGCGAGAGAGCAGGCGACACUUUUGUCAACGUGCGCGAACUCGACACCGAUGGAGUUAGCUAAGACACCCUUUCGGGGGUGAUCGGUUCGCUGGUGACUGACCUCGUCAACCGGGGCGCUCAACAGUUAAAACAAAUAGGUUGACUAUGCUUGUAGACGUUCAGCGGUCGAAUUUUUCGGACGCGGGUUCGAUUCCCGCCAUCUCCACUC
Molecule: transfer-messenger RNA, 417 nt
Filed under: Anaerolineae
Lineage: Bacteria; Bacillati; Chloroflexota
Also listed under: 3 other names
Description: JADJXA01 sp016705235 Standard tmRNA
Rfam family: transfer-messenger RNA
About the family: Bacterial tmRNA, also known as 10Sa RNA or SsrA, is named for its dual tRNA and mRNA-like properties. Its role is to liberate the mRNA from a stalled ribosome.
Source: RNAcentral